Molecule: ribosomal RNA, 475 nt
Filed under: uncultured bacterium
Lineage: Bacteria
Description: partial 16S ribosomal RNA
Rfam family: Bacterial small subunit ribosomal RNA
Source: RNAcentral
GGUGAACGCUGGCGGCGUGCUUAAGACAUGCAAGUCGAACGCAGUCUUCGGACUGAGUGGCGCACGGGUGAGUAACACGUAACUGACCUACCCCCAAGUCGCGGAUAACUGGCCGAAAGGUCAGCUAAUACGUGAUGUGAUGUCCCCUUUCUGGGGGGCCAUUAAAGGUUUACUGCUUGGGGAUGGGGUUGCGUUCCAUCAGCUAGUUGGCGGGGUAAAGGCCCACGAAGGCAACGACGGAUAGCCGGCCUGAGAGGGUGGCCGGCCACAGGGGAACUGAGACACGGGUCCCACUCCUACGGGAGGCAGCAGUUAGGAAUCUUCCACAAUGGGCGAAAGCCUGAUGGAGCGACGCCGCGUGAGGGAUGAAGGUUCUCGGAUCGUAAACCUCUGAAUCAGGGACGAAAGACGCGUAAGCGGGAUGACGGUACCUGAGUAAUAGCACCGGCUAACUCCGUGCCAGCCGCCGCAGUAA